AACCUCCGCAAUGUGAGAAAUCGCGACGGGGGGAUCCCAAGUGCCAUUCUUAACGGGAUGGCUUUUCAUUAGUGUAAAAAGCUUUUGGAAUAAGAGCUGGGCAAGACCGGUGCCAGCCGCCGCGGUAACACCGGCAGCUCUAGUGGUAGCAAUUUUUAUUGGGCCUAAAGCGUUCGUAGCCGGUUUAAUAAGUCUCUGGUGAAAUCCUGUAGCUUAACUGUGGGAAUUGCUGGAGAUACUAUUAGACUUGAGACCGGGAGAGGUUAGAGGUACUCCCAGGGUAGAGGUGAAAUUCUGUAAUCCUGGGAGGACCGCCUGUUGCGAAGGCGUCUAACUGGAACGGUUCUGACGGUGAGGGACGAAAGUUAGGGGCGCGAACCGGAUUAGAUACCCGGGUAGUCCUAACCGUAAACGAUGCGGACUUGGUGUUGGGAUGGCUUUGAGCUGCUCCGGUGCCGAAGGGAAGCUGUUAAGUCCGCCGCCUGGGAAGUACGGUCGCAAGACUGAAACUUAAAGGAAUU
Molecule: ribosomal RNA, 521 nt
Filed under: uncultured bacterium
Lineage: Bacteria
Description: bacterial SSU rRNA
Rfam family: Archaeal small subunit ribosomal RNA
Source: RNAcentral